AACGAACGCUGGCGGCAUGCCUAACACAUGCAAGUCGAACGAGACCUUCGGGUCUAGUGGCGCACGGGUGCGUAACGCGUGGGAACCUGCCCUUAGGUUCGGAAUAACUCCCCGAAAGGGGUGCUAAUACCGGAUAAUGUCUUCGGACCAAAGAUUUAUCGCCUUUGGAUGGGCCCGCGUUGGAUUGGCUAGUUGGUAGGGUAAAAGCCUACCAAGGCGACGAUCCAUAGCUGGUCUGAGAGGAUGAUCAGCCACACUGGAGCUGAGACACAGCCCAGACUCCGACGGGAGGCAGCAGUGGGGAAUAUUGGACAAUGGGCGAAGGCCUGAUCCAGCCAUGCCGGGGGAGUGAUGAAGGCCUUAGGGUUGUAAAGCUCUUUGACACGGGAUGAUAAUGACAGUACCGGGAGAAUAAGCACCGGCUAACUACGUG
This 433-nucleotide ribosomal RNA is filed under the name uncultured bacterium. RNAcentral describes it as "partial 16S ribosomal RNA". It matches the Rfam family "Bacterial small subunit ribosomal RNA", at positions 29 to 507 of the family's 1533-position model. The record is from RNAcentral.